CCUACGGGUGGCAGCAGUGGGGAAUAUUGCACAAUGGGGGAAACCCUGAUGCAGCGACGCCGCGUGAGUGAAGAAGUAUUUCGGUAUGUAAAGCUCUAUCAGCAGGGAAGAAAAUGACGGUACCUGACUAAGAAGCCCCGGCUAACUACGUGCCAGCAGCCGCGGUAAUACGUAGGGGGCAAGCGUUAUCCGGAUUUACUGGGUGUAAAGGGAGCGUAGGUGGUUCGGUAAGUCAGAUGUGAAAGCCCGGGGCUCAACCCCGGGACUGCAUUUGAAACUAUCGUACUAGAGUGCAGGAGAGGUAAGUGGAAUUCCUAGUGUAGCGGUGAAAUGCGUAGAUAUUAGGAGGAACACCAGUGGCGAAGGCGGCUUUCUGGACUGUAACUGACGCUGAGGCGCGAAAGCGUGGGGAGCAAACAGGAUUAGAUACCCUUGUAGUC
RNAcentral lists this ribosomal RNA (440 nucleotides) under Salmonella enterica subsp. enterica serovar Anatum. Its description in RNAcentral is "bacterial SSU rRNA". It matches the Rfam family "Bacterial small subunit ribosomal RNA", at positions 338 to 795 of the family's 1533-position model. The record is from RNAcentral. Lineage: Bacteria; Pseudomonadati; Pseudomonadota; Gammaproteobacteria; Enterobacterales; Enterobacteriaceae.